This is a long non-coding RNA of Colossoma macropomum (tambaqui), 1862 nucleotides long. RefSeq lists it as uncharacterized. Lineage: Eukaryota; Metazoa; Chordata; Actinopteri; Characiformes; Serrasalmidae. The record is from RefSeq and is a predicted model, not a curated record. The transcript has 3 exons.
CUUUAAAAAAAAGGAAAAGUAAGUUAUCGUGGAUUUUUUUUUAUGUAGGCCUAAUACGUUCUUCUACUUUCCCAAUAUUAAAGCAAUAGAUUACUAGAAACAUAUGUCAUUAAAGUUAACGUGAAUCAGAAAUCAUAAUGCUUUUUCCUUCCGUACUGGGACAUGGGUCUAUGUCAGGAAGAGUGUAGUAUCGUAGCAAUUCUCCCCUCUUACCGCUAGGUGGUGUUGUAUAUGGCUAGUUAGAUUUCAGAACUGACCGGGUGUGGGCAGGAGAAAAAAAAGUUGAAAAUGGCGAGUCCACAGUGCUGGAUCCUGUAAAGGAAACGAAGUUAAUAAACAGCCAGUACGUUCAUCCUUGUACCGAGUAAUUAUUAUGUCAAGUUAAUACAGAGAGUCUCUGAGCUUGAUGAUAGGUGAGGUGGUGGGAAGGGAGUCAUUACUGGUUAGUAGUAUUUUAUCCCCCCUGCUUGUACACGGUCAGAAGACUUACUAAAAGUCACCACAUUCUGAUGAAAGAAUACGGGAAAACAAAAAGCAUUAGCUACAUAGCUUUUUAUUGCUAAGGCACUGGAGCAGCUCUUUGGCUGAGUGAAGUGGUUUGCAGCAGUGUUAAAAUGUUUUAUGCUGUUAUUGUGCUCAGGAAAUGAAUGCAUUCAGUGUUUAAAAAUUAUGAUUUUGCUCAAAUGCUCCAUAUUAAUACAUUCAUUUUGCCCUCUAGCAUUUGACAAACCCGGUAGACAAUACAAAGUGGCAGUUCUCUCUACAAAUUCUCUGCUUUAGCUGCAUUUACAUUCAUCAUGUGGACUCUCUCAUACAUUCGCUCACGAGGUUUUAUUUACGGGUAUAACUGUAAUUAUGCGCUACGGUAGAACAUUUUGAUAAGGUAGCACAGCUCGUCGGAGCAACGGCACAGCCCGCAUUAGUUUCGUGUAGCUUAGUGACAUCAAAUUGAUGCGCAGUAGCUUUAGCUCGCAUGUAGCAAUAUUAGUAUUAUAGCUCUUUAACGACCUCGUAAUUCGCAGGAUCCAGUGGUAUUCGGGAGAAAAAUGUACACAGAACGAAACGUUUAGGGUUCUGAACAUUUUUAUUUAACACGGGGGGCGAUGGAGGCGAUUUUUGGAAAACCCUAUUCGUUCUGGUUAUAGAGAAAUGGGGCAUAGACCCGGAGUUCCUAAUAUGGGCAUAACGAAGACUACCGAAUGACGCACGACUACAGUGUUCUAUGCUGACAGGCUUCUUAAGCGCUCUCUACUACAGCUGUUUUGUGAGGUGGGAUAGAGCAAAAAUCUGGGCUGUCUGAAAGUGCCUGAGGACUGGAUUAGAAGCGCCGAGCUUGUUGUUGAGGUCUUUUCCAUUUUAAGCUGGUAUUCUCUCUCAUUUUCUGUUGCUAUAGUUCAGUCAGUGAAGCUCGGAGUUCUGAGAGACAGAUCCGACAUCACUGAGCGAACAGUGGAGGAGCUGAGGAAAACAACGAAGUGAGAAAGGUGGCAUUCUCAGCCUCUCUUCUGGCUACUGGAGAGGGACACGUUGGACCCAUCAGUACUGAAACCAUACUAAUCUUUGGAAAGAUCCUCUCCAAUGUCGGCAAUGCUUACAAUCCAUAUAGAGGGAUCUUUACUGCCCCAGUUAGAGGCAUCUGCGAGUUCAAACUCUUUGUCUACAAUCAUGCUACUUCCUCAGUCUCCUCAGGAGCAUCCUUGCAUAAGAAUGGAGGAACAUCUGGUGACCGCAUACGCCCACAACGAUGACAGUCAACAUGUCAGCAGCUCCAACAGUGUUAAUGAAGAAAUGAACCUUUUUUAGCCAACUGUGUCUGAACACAUCGGAAUUAGACCUCUGUGUUUAACCCAUCCGUGCAAUGA